Molecule: transfer RNA, 56 nt
Filed under: Setaria labiatopapillosa
Lineage: Eukaryota; Metazoa; Nematoda; Chromadorea; Rhabditida; Setariidae
Description: tRNA-Asp
Source: RNAcentral
AGAUUUAGUAUAAUUUUAGUAUUGUUUAUUGUCUGUAAAUUGGUUUUUAAUCUUUU